RNAcentral lists this ribosomal RNA (467 nucleotides) under uncultured bacterium. Its description in RNAcentral is "partial 16S ribosomal RNA". It matches the Rfam family "Bacterial small subunit ribosomal RNA", at positions 28 to 507 of the family's 1533-position model. The record is from RNAcentral.
GAUGAACGCUGGCGGCGUGCUUAACACAUGCAAGUCGAACGGAAAGGCCCAAGCUUGCUUGGGUACUCGAGUGGCGAACGGGUGAGUAACACGUGGGUGAUCUGCCCUGCACUUCGGGAUAAGCCUGGGAAACUGGGUCUAAUACCGGAUAGGACCACUUCUUGGAUGUUGUGGUGGAAAGUUUUUUCGGUGUGGGAUGAGCUCGCGGCCUAUCAGCUUGUUGGUGGGGUAAUGGCCUACCAAGGCGUCGACGGGUAGCCGGCCUGAGAGGGUGUACGGCCACAUUGGGACUGAGAUACGGCCCAGACUCCUACGGGAGGCAGCAGUGGGGAAUCUUGCACAAUGGGCGCAAGCCGGAUGCAGCGACGCCGCGGGGGGGAUGACGGCCUUCGGGUUGGAAACUCCUUUCGCUAGGGACGAAGCGUUUUGUGACGGUACCUGGAGAAGAAGCACCGGCUAACUACGUG